This 368-nucleotide ribosomal RNA is filed under the name Holtermanniella wattica. RNAcentral's name for it is "eukaryotic LSU rRNA". It matches the Rfam family "Eukaryotic large subunit ribosomal RNA", at positions 256 to 621 of the family's 3401-position model. Lineage: Eukaryota; Fungi; Basidiomycota; Tremellomycetes; Holtermanniales. The record is from RNAcentral.
UUCAACGAGUCGAGUUGUUUGGGAAUGCAGCUCAAAAUGGGUGGUAAAUUCCAUCUAAAGCUAAAUAUUGGCGAGAGACCGAUAGCGAACAAGUACCGUGAGGGAAAGAUGAAAAGCACUUUGGAAAGAGAGUUAAACAGUACGUGAAAUUGUUAAAAGGGAAACGAUUGAAGUCAGUCGUGCUCUCUGGGACUCAGCCGGUUCUUCCGGUGUACUUCCCAGUGAGCGGGUCAACAUCAGUUUAGAUCGCUGGAUAAAGGUAUUAGGAAGGUGGCUCCCUCGGGAGUGUUAUAGCCUAGUAUCGCAUACAGUGGUUUAGACUGAGGAACGCAGCUCGCCUUUAUGGCCGGGGUUCGCCCACGUCCGAG